This 304-nucleotide non-coding RNA is filed under the name Trechispora sp. RNAcentral describes it as "partial contains 5.8S ribosomal RNA, internal transcribed spacer 2, and large subunit ribosomal RNA". The stretch from base 1 to 52 matches the Rfam family "5.8S ribosomal RNA", at positions 103 to 154 of the family's 154-position model. The record is from RNAcentral. Lineage: Eukaryota; Fungi; Basidiomycota; Agaricomycetes; Trechisporales; Hydnodontaceae. RNAcentral also lists the same sequence under 2 other names.
AACGCACCUUGCGCUCCUUGGUAUUCCGAGGAGCAUGCCUGUUUGAGUGUCUUGAAGUCAUCAACCCCUCCCGUUUCGUGCGUGGAGAAGGUUGGAGGUGGGGGCUUGCGGUCGUGAGGCCGCUCCCCUCAAAUGCUUCGGUCGGGCCUGUGGGUCGGACUCGGUUGGGCGUUGUACCAUCCUCGCUCUCCUCCGAGAACUUCCCCGUCGAUAGAGCCCUUCCCCGGCCUCCUAUGGAGCGGUGGCCAAACAAACACUUUUGAAAUCUGACCUCAAAUCAGGUAGGACUACCCGCUGAACUUAA